RNAcentral lists this ribosomal RNA (466 nucleotides) under uncultured bacterium. RNAcentral's name for it is "SSU rRNA". It matches the Rfam family "Bacterial small subunit ribosomal RNA", at positions 26 to 518 of the family's 1533-position model. The record is from RNAcentral.
AGGAUUAACGCUGGCGGCGUGCCUAACACAUGCAAGUCGAACGAGAGUAGCAAUACUCUAGUGGCAGACGGGUGAGUAACGCGUGGUCAACCUUCCCUUUAGUGGGGGAUAACUAGCCGAAAGGUUAGCUAAUACCGCAUACGAUCUAUGAGUGGCAUCAUUUAUAGAUGAAAGAAGCAAUUCGCUUAAGGACGGGACCGCGUCCCAUUAGUUAGUUGGUGGGGUAACGGCCUACCAAGACUCCGAUGGGUAGCUGGUUUGAGAGAGCGACCAGCCACACUGGGACUGAGAAACGGCCCAGACUCCUACGGGAGGCAGCAGUGAGGAAUUUUCCGCAAUGGGCGAAAGCCUGACGGAGCGACGCCGCGUGUGGGAAGAAGGCCUUCGGGUCGUAAACCACUGUCGAAGGGAAGAUAUUGACGGUACCCUUGGAGGAAGCCCCGGCUAACUACGUGCCAGCAGCCGC